This 335-nucleotide ribosomal RNA is filed under the name uncultured bacterium. RNAcentral describes it as "bacterial SSU rRNA". It matches the Rfam family "Bacterial small subunit ribosomal RNA", at positions 28 to 334 of the family's 1533-position model. The record is from RNAcentral.
GACGAACGCUGGUGGCGUGCCUAACACAUGCAAGUCGAACGGAGUGUAACGCUGAUUUGAAGGUAGCUUGCUACUGGAUUUUCUUGUUACACUUAGUGGCGGACGGGUGAGUAACGCGUGAGCAACCUGCCUUACAGAGGGGGACAACAGUUGGAAACGACUGCUAAUACCGCAUAACAUAUUUGAGGGCAUCCUCGGAAUAUCAAAGGAGCAAUCCGCUGUAAGAUGGACUCGCGUCCGAUUAGAUAGCUGGUGGGGUAACGCCUACCAAGUCGACGAUCGGUAGCCGGACUGAGAGGUUGAACGGCCACAUUGGGGACUGAGACACGGCCCAG